This 342-nucleotide unclassified non-coding RNA is filed under the name Hevea brasiliensis (rubber tree). Lineage: Eukaryota; Viridiplantae; Streptophyta; Magnoliopsida; Malpighiales; Euphorbiaceae. The record is from RNAcentral.
UUCCUUCUCUCUCUCUCUCUCUCUCUCUCAUAGCAAUAGUUGUAGACCAGUAGUAAGUAAGAAGGGAUGGAGCAGAGAAAAGCAGUAGGUGACAUGAAGCGAAGUGAGUCAGAACUGGCCCUCCAAGAGGUUAUCAAGAAGACCACCCAAAUUAGAGGUGAAGAAAUGAAGGAAAAUCGUGACAACUCUUUUUCUGCUGAGCUCGACAGCUUCUUUGGCGAUGAUCUCUCUUUCUCCUUCAAAACUCUGGACGCGAUGAAUGGUUUUUCAAGUUGUGGACUCCCAGAAUCAUUUGUUGUGUGGUCUCAAAACAUCAGCCCCAAGCAAUCCAGCAUUUCAUCA